UUCGCCACCCUGGCUGCAUGUUAGAAUAACAAACGAAGCUUUUAGAAAUGCCAGGUGACUGGGCCCCUCCCAGACCUCAGAUUGUAUUCCGGUCAGUGUGGGGGAGUGGACAGGAAUCCGCGGAUUUUGAAAUCAUGCCAGGUGAUACAAAUGUGCAGCCAGGGUUAGAACUCAUCAGCUAGAAGAAAAGGCCUAAGUGCAUUGAGGAACUUGUGCUGGGUGUCCUGGAGAGAGAGGGUAACAGUGGGUGGAAAGAGAAAGAGAAGAGGCCAUGAGAAGAUGAGAAAGGCGAAGGGACUAAGCAGUACAAUCCGGCGGUUCCAGAACAGCCACAGAGAUGUGAGUUACAGCAUAAGAAGUGUGGUCAGUGAUAUCUGGGUGCGUAUGUGUGGGACCAGGGUUGAAGAACAAGUUGAAUGGCAGGACAAGGUGGCAAGCAGAGAAACUCAGACUGUGGGGCAACCGACUGGAUUUUCAACAAGUGGUGUUUGUUAAAAAGAAAAAAAGAAGGAGUGUGCUAUAUCACGGACUUGCGGGACAUCAUGAUCAGAUGCGAGGCAUGGUCGCAGAUUGAGUUGUAGGUUGAACAAAUGAGAUGUAGAGGGCAUUUUGGGAACAAAUCGUGGAAUUCGGAUAUCAGUCAGGCAUUACACAAGAGAAAACGUGUUGACACGGAAAGUUGGAGAAUCUUAAUAAAAUAAGCAGAUAAAGCAACAUAGUAUGCCUCAUUUCAGUAACACAUACACACACAUAAAUGUCUUGAGGGACAUACAGUAAGUUGUUAAUAAUGGUAAUUUCUUGGUGGUGGGAAUAUGGUGGGUUAUUUCAGUCUUCUCAAAUUUUUUGUAACUUUCCACAAUGCACACAUGCCUUUUAAUAAUAAUAAUAGAAGGAGGCAGUGACUGAAAGUGCAAAGAAGAUGACUGAGGAGGCCUCUGUGGGAGGCAGUAAAGUACAGCACCUCCAUCUGGGGCAGAAGUUCGACAUCUGGGAUGGAAGUCCAGAAUCCUGGCCUUUUAAUUCAUCCACCGGACUGCACCCAACAGAGGGAGUAAGAUUCCUGAGCAAGCCAUCCCACAUGGAACAGUUUUAUGGACCAUUUCCACCUUUUCGUGGAUUCCAUGAGAAGCAGUCCUACCUGCUCCUCCUCUGUGGGACCACAGAGCUGCUAGGACUUGUUAUAUUAUCUGAGAUUUCCAUUGUUCAGGUCUAGUACCAGAGAAAGAGUUCUCAGGCUCCUACCACCCCCAUCUGUUGUUGCCAUCUAGGUAUAUAAACAUGGAGGGAGGAAUAAAUGCUUCUGGAGAACGUGGCUCUUUGUUUUGUUUUUGGUUCCAAGUAGCUUUGAGGCAAAGCUGGGUUACUAGAAAGAUAUUAUGCACAUUAAGUAAGGCAUUUGAAACUUAAAUGUAACAAACCCACGAGAAAGUUUAGAGUGGACUCAGAGCUAGAGAAUGGCUGAGCCCAGAUGUAACCUGAGGACAUCCAAAGUUAAACCCAUCUCCUCCGGCAACUGGCAAAGCAGGAGACACACGUUUCAGGCCCCCAACUGGGCCCGUGAUCAGAUUUACCCUGGCUGGAGAGACCCCCUAGUCAAAUUAACCACACAUCAAAGCCACAAAUUCCUUCCUUAUCUUGGUGCUCUG
Molecule: long non-coding RNA, 1646 nt
Organism: Artibeus jamaicensis (Jamaican fruit-eating bat)
Lineage: Eukaryota; Metazoa; Chordata; Mammalia; Chiroptera; Phyllostomidae
Exons: 5
Source: RefSeq, a predicted model, not a curated record